UACGGGGGGGGCAAGCGUUGUUCGGAAUUACUGGGCGUAAAGGGCUCGUAGGUGGCCAACUAAGUCAGACGUGAAAUCCCCAGGCUCAACUUGGGAACUGCAUCCGAUACUGGAUGGCUUGAAUUCGGGAGAGGGAUGCAGAAUUCCAGGUGUAGCGGUGAAAUGCGUAGAUAUCUGGAGGAAUACCGGUGGCGAAGGCGGCAUCCUGGACCGACAUUGACGCUGAUGAGCGAAAGCUAGGGGAGCAAACGGG
This 253-nucleotide ribosomal RNA is filed under the name uncultured bacterium. Its description in RNAcentral is "partial 16S ribosomal RNA". It matches the Rfam family "Bacterial small subunit ribosomal RNA", at positions 524 to 776 of the family's 1533-position model. The record is from RNAcentral.